GUGCCAGCCGCCGCGGUAAUACCGGCAGCUCGAGUGAUGUCCAAUAUUAUUGGGCCUAAAGCGUCCGUAGCUGGCCGCGCAAGUCCGUCGGGAAACCUACCUGCCCAACAGGUGGGCGUCCGGUAGAAACUGGCCGGCUUGGAACCGGAAGGCUCAGAGAGUACGUCCGGGGUAGGAGUGAAAUCCCGUAAUCCCGGACGGACUACCGAUGGCGAAAGCACUCUGAGAAGACGGCUUCGACAGUGAGGGACGAAAGCUCGGGUCUCAAACCGGAUUAGAUACCCCGGUAGUCC
This 293-nucleotide ribosomal RNA is filed under the name uncultured bacterium. RNAcentral describes it as "partial 16S ribosomal RNA". It matches the Rfam family "Archaeal small subunit ribosomal RNA", at positions 455 to 747 of the family's 1478-position model. The record is from RNAcentral.